Molecule: ribosomal RNA, 158 nt
Filed under: Paradendryphiella sp. KUC21227
Lineage: Eukaryota; Fungi; Ascomycota; Dothideomycetes; Pleosporales; Pleosporaceae
Description: 5.8S ribosomal RNA
Rfam family: 5.8S ribosomal RNA (bases 1-130)
About the family: 5.8S ribosomal RNA (5.8S rRNA) is a component of the large subunit of the eukaryotic ribosome. It is transcribed by RNA polymerase I as part of the 45S precursor that also contains 18S and 28S rRNA.
Source: RNAcentral
UUCUGGCAUCGAUGAAGAACGCAGCGAAAUGCGAUACGUAGUGUGAAUUGCAGAAUUCAGUGAAUCAUCGAAUCUUUGAACGCACAUUGCGCCCUUUGGUAUUCCAAAGGGCAUGCCUGUUCGAGCGUCAUUUGUACCCUCAAGCUUUGCUUGGUGUU